Molecule: long non-coding RNA, 1209 nt
Filed under: Gouania willdenowi (blunt-snouted clingfish)
Lineage: Eukaryota; Metazoa; Chordata; Actinopteri; Blenniiformes; Gobiesocidae
Description: lncRNA (ENSGWIG00000018206.1)
Source: RNAcentral
GAGAGAGAGAGAGGAGCGCAGACGAUAGGAGGAGGACGAGGAGAGGAGAGAGAGAGAGAGAGGGAUUGAGAGAGAGGAGAGGAGAGAGAGAGAGAGAGAGAGGAGAGAGAGAGGAGAGAGAGAGAGAGAGAGAGACUUCACCAAUGCUGGGCCAGGAUGAAGCACUUCCUACGUCAGAGAUCAGGGGGCGGAGUUAUAUUGACGCGGGGGAAAGCAGCCAUUUUUAAAGCUCCUGUGCGACUCGUCUGUUAUUUUUUUGGGAGUUUCUCAAACCUUUAAUGGCGGCCAAACACAAGCAGCAGUGGUCGGAUGAGGAGACCCAGUGUUUCUUGGCACUGUGGUCCUCAGAGGAGGUCCAGGGGAAGCUGGACGGAGCCACCCGGGUCAAGCCGGUGUUCCAGGAGCUUCAGCGGGAGAUGUCUACGGCAGGGUACGAGCGCAGUGUGGAUCAGCUCAUAAACAAACUCAAAAAGUUAAAAAAGGAUUACAGGGACCAGAAGAAGGAGCUGGGACGAGACGGCAUUUGCAGGCAGAAGAGAUGGCCUCACUUCACAUUGAUGAAUGCGGUACUUAGCGAGCGACCGUCCAAGAACGGCAGCAGAAGGGCUCUGAGCUCGGCUACAGCCGGGACAGAUCCCACGGUGCUGGACUCAGCCCCAAACACCCCUGGAACUGAUCCUGCUUUGUCGACCGUGGAUUUGGAGGCAGUGUUUCCACAUCAACCAUCACCGGUUCCUUCCUGCAGCUCUCCCGCCCCGUCCUGCCGAUCAUCUGCAUCAUCCACCAAGUCGAGAAAAAGAAGGCGGGAUGUUGACACUGAUUUGCUGCAGUAUCUGGAGCGGUCAGAGGAACGGUUCAUAGAACAGAACCAGCGGGACCAGGACCUGGCCAACGCCAUGCUCCGCAGCCUGGAGCGCAUGGCUGGGCUGAUGGGGAGGAUGGUGUCGGUUCUGGAGUCGCAGGCAAAGAAGAAGUGAUGAGCUUUUGGCCUUUUUGAAUAUUUUGUAAAUGUUUUUAAUGUAUAUAUUUUGGGUUGAUUUGUAAUUGGUUUUUUAUGUACAUAAAGUUUUCUGACAAGAGGAGCAUGUUUUUCGUCUAUAUUUACUCUAUUCAACUCUUUAGAACAGUUUUGUUUCAACCUUAAGGUCACCUUAAAUGUUAAGUACAGAUAAUAAUAAAAUAAAUAAUUACUUAUUAAAAUAAUGAUUU